GAAUUUUAUAUGUGAUGUAUUUGGGAAGGUUAAUUGAUUUAGAAGGAGAAGUAUAGGUGCAUAUUUAGUUGGGAGGAUUGUUAAAUUAUUUAAACUUUAAUUAUAAUAAUAAAAUAUAAAUUAAUAGUAUUUGAUUAGGAAUGAGUUUUAAGUUAAAAAGGAAUUAAUUACCUUAGGGAUAACAGCGUAAUAGUUUUGGAAAGAUCGUAUUGAUAAAAUUGAUUGC
Molecule: ribosomal RNA, 226 nt
Filed under: Mycetomoellerius sp. B GR-2021
Lineage: Eukaryota; Metazoa; Arthropoda; Insecta; Hymenoptera; Formicidae
Description: partial large subunit ribosomal RNA
Source: RNAcentral